CCUACGGAGGCAGCAGUGAGGAAUAUUGGUCAAUGGGCGAGAGCCUGAACCAGCCAAGUCGCGUGAGGGAAGACGGUCCUAUGGAUUGUAAACCUCUUUUGCCGGGGAGCAAAAAGCGGUACGUGUACCGCAUCGAGAGUACCCGGAGAAAAAGCAUCGGCUAACUCCGUGCCAGCAGCCGCGGUAAUACGGAGGAUGCGAGCGUUAUCCGGAUUUAUUGGGUUUAAAGGGUGCGCAGGCGGCGAGUUAAGUCAGCGGUAAAAUUUCGGUGCUCAACACCGCCCUGCCGUUGAAACUGGUCUUCU
This 305-nucleotide ribosomal RNA is filed under the name uncultured bacterium. Its description in RNAcentral is "bacterial SSU rRNA". It matches the Rfam family "Bacterial small subunit ribosomal RNA", at positions 338 to 642 of the family's 1533-position model. The record is from RNAcentral.